Haliotis rufescens (red abalone) is the source of this 1044-nucleotide long non-coding RNA. RefSeq lists it as uncharacterized. The transcript has 3 exons. NCBI's taxonomy places the organism in Eukaryota, Metazoa, Mollusca, Gastropoda, Lepetellida, Haliotidae. The record is from RefSeq and is a predicted model, not a curated record.
UGUAGUUGUGUCGAACCAAUCUCACAGCACAGAAAAGCACUGAGGUAAUCCCGCGUCGUAGUUUCCACUGCGUUUCGUUGUAAAUAUUGUGUUCAGUUUUACCUUUGUGAGUUGACGUCGCUGUCGGCAUGACGUUACGGAUCGGGGCAAUUCAACCGCAAUAUCACAGCGGGGAAUAUCGUAAAUGGACUUAACACAUUGUACCCACGUUGGGAAUAGAACCCGGGUCCUUCGAGCGGACGCUUUAACCACACGGCUACCCUACCGCCCCUAAUGCUAUCAAUAAGGCGCUAUAGUCUUAUCAAGGAUAUUUACCUAAUACCAUCCUCAAGUCGCUGUCGGCAUGACGUUACGGAGCGAGGCCAUUCAACCGCAAUAUCACAGCGGGGAAUAUCAUAAGUGGGCUGAACACAUUGUACCCACGUUGGGAAUAGAACUCGGGGCCUUCGAGCGAACGCUUUAACCACACGGCUACCCCACCGCCACUAAUGCUAUCAAUAAGGCGCUAUAGUCUUAUCAAGGACCUUUACCUAAUACCAUCCUCAAGCGGCUGGAGGCAGAAAUACAAAGUCAGCAGAGAUGCAAAGGGAACCAUAUGUAACAACGGACGGCAUCGUCGACAGCUUCUCCUACGAUAACCACACUGAUAUGAAGCUCUCGCAGACGUCUGGCGUGUAAGGAACACUUGUCUCUACCUGCGGAGAAGGGCAUUUAGGAUACCGAAUUUCCUUGAAGCAGCCAGUGUCUCGUGCCAGAUAGCCUUCCUUACAGACCCCCAGCGCAUAAAUUAAAUAAAACAAUCACACCAUUCCAUUCCAUUCUCACUCAAUCUCUAGAUUCAGAUCUAGGUUCAUAUUAAGCGACAUUAUGAUUACUUUAAUACUCGUGGAUUCCCUUGUAUAAUCAUUUUUAUUUAACCUCAUUUAUUGGUUAUCCCGGGGACUAUAUUUUCGUCUCAGUGCACGUGGUCACGUGAUACGGCUGGGCGCUGGGAGCUAUCGCAUCAAGACUACAUAACCAGACAAAACAUUUGUGUAACAUUCA